GACGAACGCUGGCGGCGUGCUUAACACAUGCAAGUCGAACGGUAAGGCCCUUCGGGGUACACGAGUGGCGAACGGGUGAGUAACACGUGGGUGAUCUGCCCUGCACUUCGGGAUAAGCCUGGGAAACUGGGUCUAAUACCGGAUAGGACCACUGCCUGCAUGGGUGGUGGUGGAAAGCUUUUGCGGUGUGGGAUGGGCCCGCGGCCUAUUAGCUUGUUGGUGGGGUGAUGGCCGACCAAGGCGACGAUCUGUAGCGGGUCUGAGGGGAUGAUCCGCCACACUGGGACUGAGACACGGCCCAGACUCCUACGGGAGGCCGCAGUGGGGAAUAUUGCACAAUGGGCGCAAGCCUGAUGCAGCCAUGCCGCGUGUAUGAAGAAGGCCUUCGGGUUGUAAAGUACUUUCAGCGGGGAGGAAGGCGGUGAAGUUAAUAACUUCACCGAUUGACGUUACCCGCAGAAGAAGCACCGGCUAACUCCGUGCCAGCCGCCGCGGUAA
RNAcentral lists this ribosomal RNA (498 nucleotides) under uncultured bacterium. Its description in RNAcentral is "partial 16S ribosomal RNA". It matches the Rfam family "Bacterial small subunit ribosomal RNA", at positions 28 to 523 of the family's 1533-position model. The record is from RNAcentral.